This is a non-coding RNA of Camellia sinensis, 577 nucleotides long. The record is from RefSeq and is a predicted model, not a curated record. Lineage: Eukaryota; Viridiplantae; Streptophyta; Magnoliopsida; Ericales; Theaceae.
AGAUACCAUCGAGAGCCCAUUCAUAAUCUCAUCAUGAGGCAUUGACCCACGCAUUAGAAGAGGGGGAUACCUCUUCACGUCCUGAGGUGACUAGCAAUCCGCCACCACCUCUCAAUGUGGAGCCUCAACUUGAGGUGACUGUUGGUAAUACUAUUGCUGCUAAGCGUGCUCAUGGCCCGACUCGAGGCAAAGAGGUUCAAGGCCUUGUUGAUAAAGAUGGAAAGCUUAGCGUGCCUAUCCCUCCAGAAUUUCGUGCACCGGUAGGGGACUAUGCCUCAAAACUAGCCUCAAAGAUUGGUGUAGAAGUGCAAACUCGUUUACCAAAUCCAAGUGUUCGUAGGUGGAAGUAUGUUGAUGCCUCCGUUAAGGAGGCGAUGUUUCAAUGCUUGAAUGAUCAAUUUGAUUUACAAGGAGACCCUGUUGAUAUAGAGAAGGCAAUGAACACAAAAUUUGGUCGGAGAUUGAGUAACCAUACCUAUAGGCUGCACAAACAAUUCAUGGAGCUGAAGGAGGCUAAAGGGGAGGAGUAUGCAAGAAACCACCCACCAAAGAAUGUCGAUCCUACCAAGUGGAUAGA